Molecule: ribosomal RNA, 367 nt
Filed under: uncultured bacterium
Lineage: Bacteria
Description: bacterial SSU rRNA
Rfam family: Bacterial small subunit ribosomal RNA
Source: RNAcentral
AAUGAACGUUGGCGGCGUGGAUUAGGCAUGCAAGUCGAGCGAGAAGUUCCUUCGGGAACGGACAGCGGCGAAAGGGAGAGGAAUACGUAGAAAUCUACCCUGAGACCGGGAGUAGCGUCGGGAAACGUAGGCGAGUAAUACCGGAUAACGUCUUAGGACCAAAGGUGUGAUUCCACUUGGGGAGUGAGUCUACGCCCUAUUAGCUAGUUGGUGGGGUAAGGGCCCACCAAGGCGACGAUCCGUAGCUGGUCUGAGAGGAUGACCAGUCACACCGGAACUGAGACACGGUCCGGACUCCUACGGGAGGCAGCAGUGGGGGAAUAUUGGACAAUGGGCGGCAAGCCUGAUCCAGCCAUGCCGCGUGGGU